Molecule: ribosomal RNA, 646 nt
Filed under: Bacillus safensis
Lineage: Bacteria; Bacillati; Bacillota; Bacilli; Caryophanales; Bacillaceae
Description: bacterial SSU rRNA
Rfam family: Bacterial small subunit ribosomal RNA
Source: RNAcentral
AACACGUGGGUAACCUGCCUGUAAGACUGGGAUAACUCCGGGAAACCGGAGCUAAUACCGGAUAGUUCCUUGAACCGCAUGGUUCAAGGAUGAAAGACGGUUUCGGCUGUCACUUACAGAUGGACCCGCGGCGCAUUAGCUAGUUGGUGGGGUAAUGGCUCACCAAGGCGACGAUGCGUAGCCGACCUGAGAGGGUGAUCGGCCACACUGGGACUGAGACACGGCCCAGACUCCUACGGGAGGCAGCAGUAGGGAAUCUUCCGCAAUGGACGAAAGUCUGGCGGAGCAACGCCGCGUGAGUGAUGAAGGUUUUCGGAUCGUAAAGCUCUGUUGUUAGGGAAGAACAAGUGCGAGAGUAACUGCUCGCACCUUGACGGUACCUAACCAGAAAGCCACGGCUAACUACGUGCCAGCAGCCGCGGUAAUACGUAGGUGGCAAGCGUUGUCCGGAAUUAUUGGGCGUAAAGGGCUCGCAGGCGGUUUCUUAAGUCUGAUGUGAAAGCCCCCGGCUCAACCGGGGAGGGUCAUUGGAAACUGGGAAACUUGAGUGCAGAAGAGGAGAGUGGAAUUCCACGUGUAGCGGUGAAAAUGCGUAGAGAUGUGGAGGAACACCCAGUGGCGAAGGCGACUCUCUGGUCUGUAACUG